Molecule: ribosomal RNA, 764 nt
Filed under: Bacillus subtilis
Lineage: Bacteria; Bacillati; Bacillota; Bacilli; Caryophanales; Bacillaceae
Description: bacterial SSU rRNA
Rfam family: Bacterial small subunit ribosomal RNA
Source: RNAcentral
CUGGGUGCAGCCUAUACAUGCAGGUCGAGCGGACAGAUGGGAGCUUGCUCCCUGAUGUUAGCGGCGGACGGGUGAGUAACACGUGGGUAACCUGCCUGUAAGACUGGGAUAACUCCGGGAAACCGGGGCUAAUACCGGAUGGUUGUUUGAACCGCAUGGUUCAAACAUAAAAGGUGGCUUCGGCUACCACUUACAGAUGGACCCGCGGCGCAUUAGCUAGUUGGUGAGGUAACGGCUCACCAAGGCAACGAUGCGUAGCCGACCUGAGAGGGUGAUCGGCCACACUGGGACUGAGACACGGCCCAGACUCCUACGGGAGGCAGCAGUAGGGAAUCUUCCGCAAUGGACGAAAGUCUGACGGAGCAACGCCGCGUGAGUGAUGAAGGUUUUCGGAUCGUAAAGCUCUGUUGUUAGGGAAGAACAAGUACCGUUCGAAUAGGGCGGUACCUUGACGGUACCUAACCAGAAAGCCACGGCUAACUACGUGCCAGCAGCCGCGGUAAUACGUAGGUGGCAAGCGUUGUCCGGAAUUAUUGGGCGUAAAGGGCUCGCAGGCGGUUUCUUAAGUCUGAUGUGAAAGCCCCCGGCUCAACCGGGGAGGGUCAUUGGAAACUGGGGAACUUGAGUGCAGAAGAGGAGAGUGGAAUUCCACGUGUAGCGGUGAAAUGCGUAGAGAUGUGGAGGAACACCAGUGGCGAAGGCGACUCUCUGGUCUGUAACUGACGCUGAGGAGCGAAAGCGUGGGGAGCGAACAGGAUUAGAUA